RNAcentral lists this ribosomal RNA (254 nucleotides) under uncultured bacterium. Its description in RNAcentral is "partial 16S ribosomal RNA". It matches the Rfam family "Bacterial small subunit ribosomal RNA", at positions 524 to 776 of the family's 1533-position model. The record is from RNAcentral.
UACGUAGGGACCAAGCGUUGUUCGGAUUUACUGGGCGUAAAGGGCGCGUAGGCGGCGUGUUAAGUCAGCUGUGAAAUCUCCGAGCUUAACUCGGAACGGUCAGCUGAUACUGAUGUGCUAGAGUGCAGAAGGGCAAUCGGAAUUCUUGGUGUAGCGGUGAAAUGCGUAGAUAUCAAGAGGAACACCUGAGGUGAAGACGGGUUGCUGGGCUGACACUGACCGCUGGAGGCGACGAAAGCCAGGGAGCAAACGGG